Acanthosepion pharaonis is the source of this 90-nucleotide non-coding RNA. The record is from the annotation of a GenBank genome assembly. NCBI's taxonomy places the organism in Eukaryota, Metazoa, Mollusca, Cephalopoda, Sepiida, Sepiidae.
ACCUGGUUUGAAACAUUGGUUCCCGCACGAUCACCAAAGGUAAGCAACGUCGAGCCAGGUCAGUACCUAGAUGGGUGACCGCUUGGGAAU